Molecule: ribosomal RNA, 506 nt
Filed under: uncultured bacterium
Lineage: Bacteria
Description: bacterial SSU rRNA
Rfam family: Bacterial small subunit ribosomal RNA
Source: RNAcentral
AUUAAACGCUGGCGGCAUGCCUUACACAUGCAAGUCGAACGGCAGCACGGGGGCAACCCUGGGUGGCGAGUGGCGGACGGGUGAGUAAAGCAUCGGAACGUAUCCUGGAGUGGGGGGAUAACGUAGCGAAAGUUACGCUAAUACCGCAUAUUCUGUGAGCAGGAAAGCAGGGGAUCGCAAGACCUUGCGCUCUGGGAGCGGCCGAUGUCGGAUUAGCUAGUUGGUGGGGUAAAGGCCUACCAAGGCGACGAUCCGUAGCGGGUCUGAGAGGAUGAUCCGCCACACUGGGACUGAGACACGGCCCAGACUCCUACGGGAGGCAGCAGUGGGGAAUUUUGGACAAUGGGCGGAAGCCUGAUCCAGCCAUGCCGCGUGAGUGAAGAAGGCCUCGGUUGUAAAGCUCUUUCGGUCGGGGAAGGAAAGUUAGCACGGGUUAAUACCCUGUGUAGAUGACGGUACCCGAAUAAGAAGACACCGGCUAACUACGUGCCAGCAGCCGCGGUAAU